ACUACGGGUGGCAGCAGUGGGGGAUAUUGCACAAUGGGGGGAACCCUGAUGCAGCGACGCCGCGUGGGUGAAGAAGCGCCUCGGCGCGUAAAGCCCUGUCAGCAGGGAAGAAAAUGACGGUACCUGAAGAAGAAGCCCCGGCUAACUACGUGCCAGCAGCCGCGGUAAUACGUAGGGGGCAAUCGUUAUCCGGAUUUACUGGGUGUAAAGGGGGCGCAGACGGCGAUGCAAGCCAGGAGUGAAAGCCCGGGGCCCAACCCCGGGACUGCUCUUGGAACUGCGUGGCUGGAGUGCAGGAGGGGCAGGCGGAAUUCCUGGUGUAGCGGUGAAAUGCGUAGAUAUCAGGAGGAACACCGGUGGCGAAGGCGGCCUGCUGGACUGCAACUGACGUUGAGGCCCGAAAGCGUGGGGAGCAAACAGGAUUAGAUACCCCUGUAGUC
This 440-nucleotide ribosomal RNA is filed under the name uncultured bacterium. RNAcentral describes it as "partial 16S ribosomal RNA". It matches the Rfam family "Bacterial small subunit ribosomal RNA", at positions 338 to 795 of the family's 1533-position model. The record is from RNAcentral.